This 1260-nucleotide unclassified non-coding RNA is filed under the name Hevea brasiliensis (rubber tree). The record is from RNAcentral. Lineage: Eukaryota; Viridiplantae; Streptophyta; Magnoliopsida; Malpighiales; Euphorbiaceae.
GCAUGGCACCUUAAAUAACUAAACCAACCACAAAUUUUAUGAUAAACAUAAAAAAUGAAAGAUUAGGCAUGUGUCUAUAGCUAUCAGCAGCAAAAGAAAGCCCUAUGCAGGUCUCAGCUCAUCCAUGGCCAAAAACUAUUACAACCAUGUCUUAGGAAAUUAGCACAUGCAAAACAAUGAAGAAAGAAAGCUAAAAUGCGUACAAUAUGAAUCCACACCAAAGCAUGCAACCAUAUUAUAAAGUAUCUCCUCAAGUAAGCAUAAAAUGAGAGUCAUACUUCUCUAUAAGAAGGAUCCAGCAACUAAAUGAACUGUAAGUCACAUGACUGGUCAUUGAUGUUUACACAUGAAUAAUACUACAAGAGGAAGAAAGGGAUUCUCCAAAUAUAAAGGAGGUCAGCCAUGAAAAAUAUUUUUUGGUUCGUGUCUAUGAGCAAGUCUUUGUAACAUGAAAACAUAAUUUAAAAAUAUGAAAAACAUAAUUUAAAAGUUUUCCAUAAUAAGUCCUGGAACUUAUUUUAUAAAAUAUUUAAAAAAAUCACCAUUUUUACCCAUGUCUUAAAAUUCCCCAAAUCCAAGCAUCAAGUUAGAAUUGCAAGGUUGACAAAGAUGAGCUCCAGAUAUACCCUCUACAGCCUUGACAUUGAAAAUCUCAACCUCUAGAACCUGUUUAGUCCAUACCAACAUUUUUGAAUAAAGAGGAGCUGUUUAGCAACAAGCUAAUAGCUAAUAAUUGCUCAUUACAACUAGUAACAAAAGUUGCCAAAUCAAGUCAUUAACUACUUAUUCACUCAAGUCAGACCAUCCUGUAACAUUCUUCACUUUUUCAUUUGAGUUGGCAUUCGAAACUCCAUUGAUGGCAUACUCCUCCAGGUUAUCCAUUGAAGCUCACAUAUUGUUUCCAUUCCCACACGUUACCCCACGUAUUCUUAUUGUUUUAACACUUUGUUGCUUAUCCACCGGAUCCUUUGAAUAACUGUCCAUGGUGGCAUUCAAAUAAGCUCAUACCCACCAAGGAAAAAAAGAAGGCAACUGUACACCUCAAAACAUGGCAAGUUAAACAUAUAUAUAUAAAGAUUUUUGCAGAAAUUAAACCAGAACAAAAGCCCAAAUUAAAAAACCUGGAACUCAGGUAAAUGACACAAAAUCCAUGAAUCAAUCCUAAAAAUGGCUAACAAAAAGAAACUGCCACCAAUAGAAUGAUAAAAGAGGGAAAAAGAAAAUGUAAAAGGGAAAACCUGAAAGAGUAUAGUGAGGCGA